This is a non-coding RNA of Heterocephalus glaber (naked mole-rat), 72 nucleotides long. The record is from Rfam. NCBI's taxonomy places the organism in Eukaryota, Metazoa, Chordata, Mammalia, Rodentia, Bathyergidae.
GGGGGUAUAGCUUAGUGGUAAAGCACUUGCCUAUCAUGCGUGAGGCCCUGGGUUCAAUACUCAGCAUUGCUA